Molecule: ribosomal RNA, 253 nt
Filed under: uncultured bacterium
Lineage: Bacteria
Description: partial 16S ribosomal RNA
Rfam family: Bacterial small subunit ribosomal RNA
Source: RNAcentral
UACGUAGGGUGCAAGCGUUGUCCGGAAUUAUUGGGCGUAAAGAGCUCGUAGGCGGUUCGUCGCGUCGGCUGUGAAAACCCGGAGCUCAACUCCGGGCCUGCAGUCGAUACGGGCUGGCUUGAGUGCGGUAGGGGAGACUGGAAUUCCUGGUGUAGCGGUGAAAUGCGCAGAUAUCAGGAGGAACACCGGUGGCGAAGGCGGGUCUCUGGGCCGUAACUGACGCUGAGGAGCGAAAGCGUGGGGAGCGAACAGG